Molecule: ribosomal RNA, 292 nt
Filed under: uncultured bacterium
Lineage: Bacteria
Description: partial 16S ribosomal RNA
Source: RNAcentral
GGACUACAGGGGUAUCUAAUCCCGUUCGCUCCCCUGGCUUUCGCACAUGAGCGUCAGUAACAAUCCAGGACGCUGCCUUCGCCUUUGGUGUUCUUCCAGAUCUCUACGCAUUUCACCGCUCCACCUGGAAUUCCGCGUCCCUCUUUUGCCCUCAAGUCUUCCCGUUUUCCAAGGCCUGUGUUAGUUGAGCCAACACCUGUCACUCGAAACGUGAAAGACCGCCUGCGUGCGCUUUACGCCCAAUAAAUCCGGACAACGCUUGCCCCCUACGUAUUACCGCGGCUGCUGGCAC